This 250-nucleotide ribosomal RNA is filed under the name uncultured bacterium. RNAcentral's name for it is "partial 16S ribosomal RNA". It matches the Rfam family "Bacterial small subunit ribosomal RNA", at positions 524 to 773 of the family's 1533-position model. The record is from RNAcentral.
UACAGAGGUCUCAAGCGUUGUUCGGAAUCACUGGGCGUAAAGGGUGCGUAGGCUGCGAUGCAAGUCAGAUGUGAAAUCCCGGGGCUCAACCUCGGAAUGGCAUCCGAUACUGCAUUGCUUGAGGACUGGAGAGGAGUCUGGAAUUCAUGGUGGAGCAGUGAAAUGCGUAGAUAUCAUGAGGAACACUAGUGGCGUAGGCGAGACUCUGGACAGUUCCUGACGCUGAGGCACGAAGGCCAGGGGAGCAAAC